RNAcentral lists this unclassified non-coding RNA (2092 nucleotides) under Hevea brasiliensis (rubber tree). Lineage: Eukaryota; Viridiplantae; Streptophyta; Magnoliopsida; Malpighiales; Euphorbiaceae. The record is from RNAcentral.
GUGAAAGCACCCGCUCUGCCGGAAUUUUGACCCGCACCUUUCCACCCACCAACCACUAUCACUACCACCAUCUUUGCAUUGAGCUCAGCCACGUCGAACGCUAACAUCAGAUCCUUCAUUCGUCUUCUUAAAGUUGAUAAAAACUACAAAAGUUUUUCUAUUUUCAAAAUAAAUAGCAAAACAGGACAUAAAAUUCGAUCUCUUUCUUCCUUCCUUUUACUCAAAAUUUAAUGCCCAUGUCUCAGAUGCGUUUGAUUCUGAUUGUUAAUUUGCUUUUGUUGCUGAGCUCUAAAGCGGCGUCGUUUCUUCCGGGAUCCCGUUCGAUCCUUCGAGAAUUAAGCAACGACAACGCCGUGAAGGCAGAUUAUGCCAUCGAUUUUAACAUCACCAACUUCGAUGCAGUUCUUAGAGACACUCCUGCCACUUUUGCCAUUGUCGAAUUCUUCGCCCACUGGUGCCCUGCUUGCAGAAAUUAUAAGCCCCAUUAUGAAAAAGUUGCAAGGCUUUUCAAUGGACCUGAUGCAGUGCAUCCUGGUAUUGUAUUGAUGACAAGGGUGGAUUGUGCAUUGAAGAUAAAUAAUAAACUUUGUGAUAGAUUUUCGGUGAGUCAUUAUCCCAUGCUAUUUUGGGGUCCACCUGCCAAAUUUGUAUCUGGUGGUUGGAAACCCAAACAAGAGAAAAGUGUAAUUCGUGUAAUCGAUGAUGGACGAACAGCUGAACAUUUGCUUAAUUGGAUCAAUAAGCAAUUAGGCAGGUAUGAGGUAUUACUGACCAUGUCUUGUUUUGUUGUGAUCUUUAAAUUGUAAUGUACUGCAUCUUUAGCUCAAAACUAUAUUUGAUGUUGGACUUUCUUGACAUUGUGCUAACAAAACAUUGUCACAAGUUCUCAGUUUUGGUGCCCUUUGCCUUUGACAUUUGUAAACAGUUCUCAUGUUCUUCUGCAGUUUGGUUUUGGUUCACCAUUAGCUUACUAACUUUUUCCCCUUUGUUUGGAAAAGAUUUGAAAUUAGAAUCUAUCCUCGCUACAGUCAAUACCAUAACUAAUAAGAUAAUGCCUCAAGGCCAUUGAUUCAUUAAUUUCUGAUGAACCAAGUUAGGGAUUGUUAAAAAAAAUCCUCAUUCAUUUAAAACUUUUUAAUGAAGGGUUCUUUUUUUCCAUGUAUGUUUCUGGUGUGUAAGGAUUCUUUUGUUAGUUAACAUGUGCGCUUCAGAAGUGGCAUGGGAUACUCUUUUCUUAAAAAAAAACCUGGAUUUGCACCAAGUUAGUCAGCUGCUACACAAAACACCAUCUUUUAUGUGGCAUUCAUUCCAAAUAUUGCACACCUAUUUGAAAAGUCAAUUGAUUUUUGAACAUCUGCCAUCUUGUUGAGUCAAACUUUACAGGAUCUUCUUAACUCAGUUUGAGAUUGGUUGGUUUCCCAAUGUUUCAAAAGCAGUAAAGUUUGCAAUUAUACAGCAAUAAUAAAUAAAAUCAUUAGCAUUUGUUUUGUAUCCUUGUGAUUAGGAUACUGGCUCAUUAGUAAUCCACUUUUUCAGUAAACAAUCAUAGUUUAUCUACCUGUGGACAAAAAUAUGAUAAAUUCUAUGAAAGAUAUAUUUUUAAUCAACUACCCAAAAUAAGCAAAUUAGAAGACAGUAAGUUAUUUGAUAUAUUGUGUUUCAUUUAUUAAAAAGCAUUUCUAAUGUUUUGUGCAAUAAUAUUUGUCUUUUUUUUUUUUCCCUUUGUUGUUAGAAGACGUACUUUGUUCUUGUUGUAGUUUUGUAAUGUAAAUAAUAUUCAGAAAAGUUAGAAGUCUGAAAGCUUUUGUUCUUGGCUUUGCAUGAUUCAGAAGAAUGCUAUAUUUUGGAUUCACUUACAAUAUCUGCUUACCUGUAUGCGUACAGUUUUAUGAUAGCAUCAAUAAGUUUUAAGCCGGUCAAUAUCAAACAUUUAGAUCAUAAUAAAUGAAGAAGUAGUCAUCUGGUGUUCCAGUAUCUAUCCGAAGGAAGACGCACUGCUUCUAGGUUGUUGCUAAAUGUAAUAAUGAUGCAUUUUCAAGUUUUAAACUGACAAAUAAAAAUAAAACACUGUGAGAAAGAUCUUUUGUUAUUU